GAUGAAGAACGCAGCGAAAUGCGAUAAGUAAUGUGAAUUGCAGAAUUCAGUGAAUCAUCGAAUCUUUGAACGCACCUUGCGCCCUUUGGACAUUCCGAAGGGCAUGCCUGUUUGAGUAUCAUGAACACCUCAACUCUCACGGCUUGUCCGUGAUGAGCUUGGACUUUGGGGGUCUUGCCGGCCUGUGGUCGGCUCCUCUCAAAUGGAUCAGCUUGCCAGUGUUUGGUGGCAUCACAGGUGUGAUAACUAUCUUCGCUUGUGGUUUUCCAUCAGAUAACCUUCAGUGAUAUGGAGGUUCGCUGGAGCUCACAAAUGUCUCUCCUUAGUGAGGACAGCUCUUUGAACGUUUGAUCUCAAAUCAGGUAGGACUACCCGCUGAACUUAAGCAUAUCAAUAAGCGGAGGA
This 405-nucleotide unclassified non-coding RNA is filed under the name soil metagenome. RNAcentral's name for it is "partial contains 5.8S ribosomal RNA, internal transcribed spacer 2, and large subunit ribosomal RNA". The stretch from base 1 to 121 matches the Rfam family "5.8S ribosomal RNA", at positions 35 to 154 of the family's 154-position model. The record is from RNAcentral.